RNAcentral lists this ribosomal RNA (253 nucleotides) under uncultured bacterium. RNAcentral's name for it is "partial 16S ribosomal RNA". It matches the Rfam family "Bacterial small subunit ribosomal RNA", at positions 524 to 776 of the family's 1533-position model. The record is from RNAcentral.
UACGAAGGGGGCUAGCGUUGUUCGGAAUUACUGGGCGUAAAGGGCGCGUAGGCGGCUCUGAUCGUCGGAUGUGAAAGGCCUGGGCUCAACCUGGGAAUGGCAUCCGAUACGGCGGGGCUGGAGUGUGGGAGAGGGAUGCGGAAUUCCAGGUGUAGCGGUGAAAUGCGUAGAUAUCUGGAGGAACACCGGUGGCGAAGGCGGCAUCCUGGACCAACACUGACACUGAGGAGCGAAAGCCAGGGGAGCAAACGGG